This 78-nucleotide transfer RNA is filed under the name Actinomycetota bacterium. RNAcentral's name for it is "tRNA-Pro". It matches the Rfam family "tRNA". From Rfam's summary of the family: Transfer RNA (tRNA) molecules are approximately 80 nucleotides in length. Their secondary structure includes four short double-helical elements and three loops (D, anti-codon, and T loops). Lineage: Bacteria; Bacillati; Actinomycetota. The record is from RNAcentral.
CGGGGUGUAGCGCAGCCAGGUUAGCGCGCAGCGUUCGGGACGCUGAGGUCGUCGGUUCAAAUCCGACCACCCCGACCA